GACGAACGCUGGCGGCGUGCCUAAUACAUGCAAGUUGAGCGAUGAAGAUUGGUGCUUGCACCCAUUUGAAGAGCAGCGAACGGGUGAGUAACGCGUGGGGAAUCUGCCUUUGAGCGGGGGACAACAUUUGGAAACGAAUGCUAAUACCGCAUAACAACUUUAAACAUAAGUUUUAAGUUUGAAAGAUGCAAUUGCAUCACUCAAAGAUGAUCCCGCGUUGUAUUAGCUAGUUGGUGAGGUAAAGGCUCACCAAGGCGAUGAUACAUAGCCGACCUGAGAGGGUGAUCGGCCACAUUGGGACUGAGACACGGCCCAAACUCCUACGGGAGGCAGCAGUAGGGAAUCUUCGGCAAUGGACGAAAGUCUGACCGAGCAACGCCGCGUGAGUGAAGAAGGUUUUCGGAUCAUAAAACUCUGUUGGUAGAGAAGAACGUUGGUGAGAGUGGAAAGCUCAUCAAGUGACGGUAACUACCCAGAAAGGGACGGCUAACUACGUG
RNAcentral lists this ribosomal RNA (497 nucleotides) under uncultured bacterium. RNAcentral's name for it is "partial 16S ribosomal RNA". It matches the Rfam family "Bacterial small subunit ribosomal RNA", at positions 28 to 507 of the family's 1533-position model. The record is from RNAcentral.